Hippopotamus amphibius kiboko is the source of this 423-nucleotide long non-coding RNA. RefSeq lists it as uncharacterized. Lineage: Eukaryota; Metazoa; Chordata; Mammalia; Artiodactyla; Hippopotamidae. The record is from RefSeq and is a predicted model, not a curated record. The transcript has 3 exons.
CUGGAAGUGGGCGGGGCCUGGAGAUGGGGCCCAAACUAGCUGGCUGUGGGCGGCGCCGGAGGGGUGCGGAAGAGAUGAAGUAAGACCGAGCGCCGGGUCCUUUCACUUUCAAGGGAACCUGAACCUGCCUAAGAGACUGGAUUCCUGAGCACGAAGCAGAGUCUGAAAUGAAUCCCGCCUGGCUCUGCCAGGCCAGCAGUUAUAGCUACACUUCUGUUGUUUGAUGACCUCCGUCUCUUGCUUCAAAAGGAAGAAAAAUCAAAGUCUCUGCUUAAAUAUCACUUCCUGGGACUUCUCUGGUGAUCCUGUUGGUUAAGACUCCACGCUCCCAAUGCACGGGGGGCCUGGGUUCCAUCCCUGGUCAGGGAACUAGAUCCCUCAUGCCGCAACUAAAGAUCCCAUAUGCUGCAAAUAAGACCUGGU